This 1483-nucleotide ribosomal RNA is filed under the name uncultured Chytridiales. RNAcentral describes it as "SSU rRNA". It matches the Rfam family "Eukaryotic small subunit ribosomal RNA", at positions 243 to 1771 of the family's 1831-position model. Lineage: Eukaryota; Fungi; Chytridiomycota; Chytridiomycetes; Chytridiales. The record is from RNAcentral.
UUGGUGAUUCAUGAUAACUUUUCGAAACGCAUAACUUUAUGUUGGCGAUGGUUCAUUCAAAUUUCUGCCCUAUCAACUUUUGAUGGUAGGAUAGAGGCCUACCAUGGUUUUAACGGGUAACGGCGAAUUAGGGUUCGAUUCCGGAGAGGGAGCCUGAGAAAUGGCUACCACAUCUAAGGAAGGCAGCAGGCGCGCAAAUUACCCAAUCCUAAUUCAGGGAGGUAGUGACAAUAAAUAACAAUCCAGGGCUUAGGUCUUGGAAUUGGAAUGAAAACAAUUUAAAUCUCUUAGUGAGGAACAAUUGGAGGGCAAGUCUGGUGCCAGCAGCCGCGGUAAUUCCAGCUCCAAUAGCGUAUAUUAAAGUUGUUGCAGUUAAAUAGCCCGUAGUUGUAUCUUAAAAUUUUUGCUGGUUGGGUCUUUGGCCUAAACUAUCAUGAAAUUUUUGUUUUGGAUAGGGAUGAUGUGCUUUACUGUGUGUCAUUUUGAACCAAAAGUUUUACUUUGAAAAAAUUAGAGUGUUUAAAGCAAGCAUUUGCAUGAAUAUAUUAGCAUGGAAUAAUAAAAUAAGACUUUGGUUCUAUUUUGUUGGUUUCUAGGACUGAAGUAAUGAUUAAUAGGGACAGUUGGGGGCAUUAGUAUUUAAUUGUCAGAGGUGAAAUUCUUGGAUUUAUGAAAGACUAACUUCUGCGAAAGCAUCUGCCAAGGAUGUUUUCAUUAAUCAAGGACGAAAGUCAGGGGAUCGAAAACGAUUAGAUACCGUUGUAGUCCUGACCAUAAACUAUGCCAACUAGGGAUCAGACAAGGAUUGUAAGACUUGUUUGGCACCUUAUGAGAAAUCAAAGUCUUUGGGUACCGGGGGGAGUAUGGUCGCAAGGCUGAAACUUAAAGGAAUUGACGGAAGGGCACCACCAGGAGUGGAGCCUGCGGCUUAAUUUGACUCAACACGGGGAAACUCACCAGGUCCAGACAUGGUAAGGAUUGACAGAUUGAGAGCUCUUUCUUGAUUCUAUGGGUGGUGGUGCAUGGCCGUUCUUAGUUGGUGGAGUGAUUUGUCUGGUUAAUUCCGAUAACGAACGAGACCUUAACCUGCUAAAUAGUUUAUCUCACUUUGGUGAGUAUAAUCUUCUUAGAGGGACAAUGUAUAUUUAGUACAUGGAAGUUUGAGGCAAUAACAGGUCUGUGAUGCCCUUAGAUGUUCUGGGCCGCACGCGCGCUACACUGACAAAGGCAGCAAGUAUUGACCUUAACUGGAAAGUUUGGGUAAUCUUUUGAAUCUUUGUUGUGUUGGGGAUAGUCCCUUGCAAUUUUUGGACUUAAACGAGGAAUUCCUAGUAAGUGCAAGUCAUCAGCUUGUGUUGAUUAUGUCCCUGCCCUUUGUACACACCGCCCGUCGCUACUACCGAUUGAAUGGCUUAGUGAGACCUCCAGAUUGAGUUAAUCAUCUUUGGGUGAAUUGGUUUAAAAAGUUGGUCAAACUUGGUCA